CAGAUAUAAUGCAGAAACGAUAUGGGCCUGCUGCAGGUGUUUGCCACUGUACGAUGCAUUGUAUAUGAUUCGCCAAUUUUCCUCUAUCCUGGAACGUGGGCUUACGAGGAACCAUUUAAGAACAUCCUCCGGAAGCUGUACGGCGACGAGUCGGGCUCUACCAGCACAACACGCUAGAGACCCAGCCGGCACCGGGUGCCUCGAUUGCGCCGUCAGACAGUGUCGAGCGCGCUCGUUCACAACGUUCGAGACAGGAAUUCAACCUUUCGGAUCAUUAUCCUCCGCCUCACAAUAGCUGCAGCAGCAACAGGACCGAACCGACUGCACUACUGAUUGCGGUCAAAUACUGAUUGCGGUCCUGGCAGGAGAAAAAAUCCCACAAGUGUAUCGAACAGGCUACGGACGGACCCCGAAAAGGCCAUUCAUUCCCAACGGCCUAAGAUGUUUUUAGUGUUCAGUGGUGUGCGCGACCGU
Molecule: long non-coding RNA, 474 nt
Organism: Anopheles gambiae (African malaria mosquito)
Lineage: Eukaryota; Metazoa; Arthropoda; Insecta; Diptera; Culicidae
Exons: 3
Source: RefSeq, a predicted model, not a curated record